RNAcentral lists this ribosomal RNA (253 nucleotides) under uncultured bacterium. Its description in RNAcentral is "partial 16S ribosomal RNA". It matches the Rfam family "Bacterial small subunit ribosomal RNA", at positions 524 to 776 of the family's 1533-position model. The record is from RNAcentral.
UACGAAGGGGGCUAGCGUUGCUCGGAAUCACUGGGCGUAAAGCGCACGUAGGCGGCAUCUUAAGUCAGGGGUGAAAUCCUGGAGCUCAACUCCAGAACUGCCCUUGAUACUGGCGAUCUCGAGUUCGGGAGAGGUGAGUGGAACUGCGAGUGUAGAGGUGAAAUUCGUAGAUAUUCGCAAGAACACCAGUGGCGAAGGCGGCUCACUGGCCCGAUACUGACGCUGAGGUGCGAAAGCGUGGGGAGCAAACAGG